RNAcentral lists this ribosomal RNA (458 nucleotides) under uncultured bacterium. RNAcentral's name for it is "SSU rRNA". It matches the Rfam family "Bacterial small subunit ribosomal RNA", at positions 26 to 518 of the family's 1533-position model. The record is from RNAcentral.
AGAAUCAACGCUGGCGGCGUGCCUAACACAUGCAAGUCGAACGAGAAAGUGGAGCAAUCCAUUAGUAAAGUGGCGCACGGGUGAGUAACACGUGACUAACCUACCCUUGAGUGGGGGAUAACCUAGGGAAACCUGGGCUAAUACCGCAUAAUACCUUCGGGUCAAAGGAGCAAUUCGCUUAAGGAGGGGUCGCGGCCGAUUAGUUAGUUGGCGGGGUAAUGGCCCACCAAGACGAUGAUCGGUAUCCGGCCUGAGAGGGCGCACGGACACACUGGAACUGAAACACGGUCCAGACUCCUACGGGAGGCAGCAGUGGGGAAUUUUGCGCAAUGGGGAAACCCUGACGCAGCAACGCCGCGUGGAGGAUGAAGCCCCUUGGGGCGUAAACUCCUUUCGAUCGGGACGAUUAUGACGGUACCGGAAGAAGAAGCCCCGGCUAACUUCGUGCCAGCAGCCGC